RNAcentral lists this ribosomal RNA (496 nucleotides) under uncultured bacterium. Its description in RNAcentral is "partial 16S ribosomal RNA". It matches the Rfam family "Bacterial small subunit ribosomal RNA", at positions 28 to 507 of the family's 1533-position model. The record is from RNAcentral.
GACGAACGCUGGCGGCGUGCCUAAUACAUGCAAGUAGAACGCUGAAGAGAGGAGCUUGCUCUUCUUGGAUGAGUUGCGAACGGGUGAGUAACGCGUAGGUACCUGCCUGGUAGCGGGGGAUAACUAUUGGAAACGAUAGCUAAUACCGCAUAAAAUUGAUUAUUGCAUGAUAAUUAAUUGAAAGAUGCAACUGCAUCACUACCAGAUGGACCUGCGUUGUAUUAGCUAGUUGGUGAGGUAACGGCUCACCAAGGCGACGAUACAUAGCCGACCUGAGAGGGUGAUCGGCCACACUGGGACUGAGACACGGCCCAGACUCCUACGGGAGGCAGCAGUAGGGAAUCUUCGGCAAUGGGGGGAACCCUGACCGAGCAACGCCGCGUGAGUGAAGAAGGUUUUCGAAUCGUAAAGCUCUGUUGUAAGAGAAGAACGGGUGUGAGAGUGGAAAGUUCACACUGUGACGGUAUCUUACCAGAAAGGGACGGCUAACUACGUG